UGAACGCUGGCGGCGUGCCUAAUACAUGCAAGUCGAACGGAGAUUUUAGCAAUAAGAUCUUAGUGGCGAACGGGUGAGUAACGCGUUGGUGACCUGCCUCAAAGUGUGGGAUAACAGUUCGAAAGGAUUGCUAAUACCGCAUGUGAUCUCUGGGAUUAGAUGCCCGGUUAUUAAAGCCGAAAGGCGCUUUGAGAGGGACCUGCGUCCCAUCAGCUAGUUGGUAGGGUAACGGCUUACCAAGGCGAUGACGGGUAGGGGACCUGAGAGGGUGGACCCCCACAAUGGAACUGAAACACGGUCCAUACACCUACGGGUGGCAGCAGUAGGGAAUAUUGCAUAAUGGGCGAAAGCCUGAUGCAGCAACGCCGCGUGUGCGAUGAAGGCCUUCGGGUCGUAAAGCACUUUUAGAGAGGAUGAGGAAGGACAGUACUCUCUGAAUAAGCCUCGGCUAACUACGUGCCAGCAGCCGCGGUAAAACGUAGGAGGCGAGCGUUAUCCGGAUUUACUGGGCGUAAAGCGCGUGCAGGUGGUUCGGUAAGUUGGAUGUGAAAGCUCCUGGCUUAACUGGGAGAGGUCGUUCAAUACUACCGGGCUUGAGUAUGGAAGAGGGAAGUGGAAUUCCGGGUGUAGUGGUGAAAUGCGCAGAUAUCCGGAGGAACACCAGUGGCGAAAGCGGCUUCCUGGUCCAUUACUGACACUCAGACGCGAAAGCUAGGGGAGCGAACGGGAUUAGAGACCCCGGUAGUCCUAGCUGUAAACGAUGCGGACUUGGCGUCGGUGGGUUCAAAUCCAUCGGUGCCGAAGCUAACGCGAUAAGUCCGCCGCCUGGGGACUAC
RNAcentral lists this ribosomal RNA (836 nucleotides) under uncultured bacterium. RNAcentral describes it as "bacterial SSU rRNA". It matches the Rfam family "Bacterial small subunit ribosomal RNA", at positions 30 to 883 of the family's 1533-position model. The record is from RNAcentral.